Molecule: long non-coding RNA, 1236 nt
Filed under: Heterocephalus glaber (naked mole-rat)
Lineage: Eukaryota; Metazoa; Chordata; Mammalia; Rodentia; Bathyergidae
Description: lncRNA (ENSHGLG00100048332.1)
Source: RNAcentral
UGGGCACUGGGAGAGGCAGGGAGCCUGCAUUUAGACUUCCUCUCAGCUUGCAGGAUGUACCACAUGUUAAGAGGGUCUUAGGCUACCUGUAUACAAGUAAUUUUCAAUGCUUUUCAUCUAAGUCUAAAAGCUGACCCAUCCUUUAAAAGUAUGUGCUCAGUAAGUCACCAGAAAGUGGCAUGGAGCAGAGGAUUGUUUAAUUAGGGGUGCUGAGUCACUUUGGGGACCUGGAGGCUCUGUCUUUGACUAGGCAAAGUGUUUGCUCCAAGCCUUUCCUCUGCCCAAAUCUGUGAAGAUCUAGUUGCACCUUGGAACUUUCAGCACCAAGGCGCCAAGUGAACUGCCAUGAACAACAAGAUAUGCACAACACCCACCAGGCAUGCAUGUGCUCUCUCUGAGCACUGGUGCAGAUUUCCCUUGUCCUUAAGCAUGACCUUCAUUCUCAAGGCUCCCUUAUCUUCAGCCAUGCCCGUGUCCUCAAGUAUUCCUCUUCAUCUCAAAUGCCUGCUGUGCUGCUCACUAUCACAGCUGCAUUCCAGAAUCAAAAACAAAAACCAAUCAAAAAGGAGCCAUCGGAAGACCCACCCAGGGCAAAUGCAGACUGUCUUCAUGCGGAGAUAUCACCUGCAGGUGCAUGGGUUGCCCUUGGAUACUGCUGUAACAAGAUUUCUUUUCUCCAAAGACAGAAAGGCUGGAUUGUGGAUGUGAUCUCUUCCUCCCAAAUAUGCUCCUGGCAUUGAGCCAUGAAGUCCUCAUUGGAGCCAGACCAGACCAAUUGGGUUGCCUGACAUUGAACUUUCAAUCUCCAAAACGUUGUGCUAAAUAAAUCUCUUUUUCUUCAUAAGUAACCUGCCUCAGGUAUUUCAGGAUAGCAAUGAAAAACAGACAAAUGCACUGCAUGUCUUGAAAUCCUCACCUGAGAGGGAGCAAAUACACAGCACAUCGCACACCUCCCCAGCAAACCUGCUGGUGCUCUCCUCCAUCCUGUCACAUGUGCACACAGGCCUGCAGACACAAGUUCAUGUCAGGGUUCAUUUCUAAACGCCAGCCUCCCCUGGGGCUGCUAUUCCUGCCAGCACACUGCACAGAGCUCCCUGCCUCCCAGCCAGGCAGCCCCCUUCCCUGACAGUGCCUCCUUCACAGUGCUCAGGGUCUGAACUCUGAGCAGGGUUAGACAGCAAACCAGGGACACAGCCAGGCUUAUUAAGGAACUCAUAAUAAUAAGAAUAAUUAGCG